Molecule: ribosomal RNA, 274 nt
Filed under: uncultured Bacteroides sp.
Lineage: Bacteria; Pseudomonadati; Bacteroidota; Bacteroidia; Bacteroidales; Bacteroidaceae
Description: partial 16S ribosomal RNA
Rfam family: Bacterial small subunit ribosomal RNA
Source: RNAcentral
CGGGAUUGAAGCUUGCUUCAAUUGCCGGCGACCGGCGCACGGGUGAGUAACGCGUAUCCAACCUUCCGUACACUCAGGGAUAGCCUUUCGAAAGAAAGAUUAAUACCUGAUGGUAUGAUGAGAUUGCAUGAUAGCAUCAUUAAAGAUUUAUCGGUGUACGAUGGGGAUGCGUUCCAUUAGGUAGUAGGCGGGGUAACGGCCCACCUAGCCAACGAUGGAUAGGGGUUCUGAGAGGUUAACCCCCACAUUGGGACUGAGACACGGCCCAGACUCC